CCAAACGGCCUCAACAACGAGGCGAUGGCUCACCCUUGGGGUGGUAGAAAACCUCUGGCCUGGGUGUCUCCUCUCCCUCCUCACGAGUUAUAGAUAGCCCUCCUCCGAUCGCCAACCCCUUCCGAUCGCCAUUCCUCUCCUCUCCCCCCGGCCUCCUCCCCCUUCUCUUCCAUUCCUCCCCAUUUCCCCUCUCUAGCGCUCCGUUUCUAGGGUUUGAAUCUCGAGUGAGAGGGGGACGGCCAUGGCGGAGCAGAAUAAACGGUGGACGUGGGAGUUGCCGGGCUUCGAACCCAGAAAGUCCUUCGAGCGCGAUGAUCAGGAGCCCCACCCCGUGGUCCGGAGGCUCUCCGUCUCCCCGUCGUCCCUGGUGCAGCGCCCUGAGCUCCCGAAGCAGCCCCUCGCUGUCAAGUUCCAGAAGUUGAAGGACCAACUCCAGCAUACUAGAGAGGACUACUUGGAGUUGAGACAGGAAGCAAGUGACCUUAGAGAAUACUCGAAUGCCAAACUUGACAGAGUUACUCGCUAUCUGGGUGUUCUUGCUGACAGGGCUCACAAACUAGAUCAAGCUGCUCUUGAAACUGAGGCCAGAAUUAGUCCUUUGAUCAAUGAGAAGAAAAAGUUGUUCAAUGAAUUGUUAACUGCCAAAGGAAAUGUGAAGGUAUUUUGUCGUACACGGCCACUAUUUGAAGAUGAGGGCCCAUCUAUAGUUGAGUUUCCUGAUGAAUUUACCAUCCGUAUAAACACUGGUGAUGAUUCUCUUACCAAUCCUAAGAAGGAUUAUGAAUUUGAUAGGGUUUAUGGGCCCCAUGUUGGACAAGGGGAAUUUUUUCGUGAUGUUCAACCAUUUGUACAGUCAGCCUUGGAUGGAUAUAAUGUUUCUGUGUUUGCAUAUGGACAAAGUCGUUCUGGAAAAACACAUACAAUGGAAGGAUCUAGCCAUGAACGUGGUUUGUAUCAGCGGAGUUUUGAGGAGCUCUUUGAUCUAUCCAAUUCAGAUACCACAUCCACAUCUCAAUAUAGUUUUUAUGUUACGGCCUUUGAGCUUUACAAUGAGCAGGUUCAAGAUCUGCUAGGAGAAUCCAUAAACAGCAUAUCGAGAAUAAACAUCGGUCCCCAAGAUUCAUUCGUGGAACUUGUGCAGCAGAAAGUUGAUAAUCCUUUGGACUUUUCUAUGUUACUAAAAGAGGCAAUCCAAAACCGAGGCAGAGAUUCUGCAAAGGCUACCGUGUCACAUCUGGUUGUCACCAUUCAUAUACACUAUACGAAUUGCGUCACUAGGGAAAGUUUGUACAGCAAGCUUUCUCUUGUAGAUUUACCUGGAAGUGAGUGCUUACAUGUGGAAGAUGCUAGUGGGGAUCAUGUAACAGACCUUUUGCAUGUAUCAAAAUCACUUUCUGCGUUGGGGGAUGUUUUGUCAUCAUUGACUUCGAAGAAAGAAAUCAUACCAUAUGAAAAUUCAAGGCUGACGCAAUUGCUUGCUGACUCGCUGGGUGGUAGCUCAAAGACCUUGAUGAUUGUCCAUGUUUGUCCAAUUGCUUCAAAUCUGUCGAAAACAUUGUCCACCCUUAAUUUUUCUGCAAGAGCAAGAAAUGCUGAACUAAGCCUUGGAAAUCGAGAUACGAUUAAAAAAUGGAAAGAUGUGGCUAAUGAUUCUCGAAAAGAACUGUAUGAGAAAGAAAAGGAAGUUCAUGAUCUGAGGAAUGAAGUUAUUGAGCUAAAGCUUGCUCUUAAAGAUGCCAAUGAUCAAUGCAUUCUGCUGUUCAAUGAAGUUCAAAAAGCCUGGAAAGUUUCUUUUACACUUCAGACAGAUUUGAAGUCAGAAAAUAUACUACUGGCAGACAAACAAAAAAUUGAGAAAGAGCAGAACACUCAGCUUAGGAAUCAGGUUGCUCAUCUUUUGCAACUCGAGCAAGAGCAGAAAAUGCAGAUACAUGAACGUGAUUUAACCAUUCAGGCCCUGCAGACCAAAAUUAAGGGUAUUGAGUUCCAGCUUAAUGAGGCCCUUCACUCUAAUGAUGCUAGAUCGACUGUUGGGUCUGACUCUAGGUCUACAGGGGUUCUUUCAACUCCAAAAUUAGUGGAGGAAAGUGUUGAUUCUUCACUGGUGACCAAAAAACUCGAGGAAGAACUCUCAAAGAGGGAUGCACUUAUUGAGAAAUUGCAUCAGGAGAAUGAGAAGCUGUUUGACAGACUAACGGAGAAGUCAGCAUUUGGUGGCUCACCACAGGUGUCGAGUCCAUCUGCCAAGAGAUCAGUUAACAUACAGGGACGGGAUUUAAGCAGGAGUGAUAGCAGCAAAGGACGCACUGUAGAUGUCCUUCCAUUGCCGGCAGCCCAGGAUAAAACUGAAAGCACAGGAGCUCUUGUAAAAGCAGGCAAUGACAAAACUAAGACAACUCCUGCUGGAGAAUAUCUAACUGCUGCACUGAUGGAUUUUGAUCCAGAUCAAUUUGAGAGCUUUGCUGCUAUUGCUGAUGGAGCAAACAAGCUUUUGAUGCUGGUUUUGGCUGCAGUAAUCAAAGCUGGUGCUGCACGUGAACAUGAAAUACUUGCUGAAAUCAGAGAUGCUGUUUUUUCAUUCAUUCGAAAAAUGGAACCAAGGAGGGUAAUGGAUACCAUGCUAGUUUCACGAGUUAGAAUUUUGUACGUAAGGUCUUUGCUUGCUAGGUCACCAGAGCUGCAAUCCAUUAAGGUUUCUCCAGUUGAACGUUUUCUAGAGAAAGCUAACAGUGGCAGAAGUAGAAGUUCCAGCCGGGGUAAUAGCCCAGGCAGAUCUCCUGUUCAUUAUGAUUCCAGUGCAAGGACUGCUAUUGUUGAUGAACAGAUCCAUGGUUUUAAGGUUAAUAUAAAACAAGAAAAGAAGUCCAAGUUUUCAUCCAUUGUCUUAAAGCUUCGAGGGAUUGACCAGGAAACAUGGAGGCAGCAUGUUACUGGUGGAAAGCUCCGGGAAAUAAUUGAGGAAGCCAAAGCUUUUGCAGUUGGGAACAAGGCUCUUGCUGCUCUUUUUGUUCACACGCCAGCUGGAGAGCUGCAACGUCAAAUCCGAUCAUGGCUUGCAGAGAAUUUUGAGUUUCUUUCUGUUACUGGUAGUGAUGCAAUAGGAGGAACGACUGGGCAACUAGAACCUCUGUCCACUGCAAUAAUGGAUGGAUGGAUGGCUGGUCUUGGUACUGCACAGCCUCCUAGCACUGACGCUUUAGGCCAGCUUUUAUCUGAAUACACUAAGAGAGUUUACAAAUCACAAUUGCAACACCUGAAGGAUAUAGCAGGUACCUUGGCAACGGAACAGGCUGAUGACCUUGCCCAUGUGAAUAAACUUCGUUCGGCCCUAGAGUCAGUUGAUCAUAAGAGAAAGAAGAUUUUACAACAAAUGAGGAGUGAUACGGCCUUGCUAACAACAGAAGGUGGUUCACCCAUCAGGAAUCCUUCAACUGCAGCUGAAGAUGCACGGUUGGCAUCUCUCAUAUCUUUGGAUAGCAUCCUGAAACAAGUGAAGGAAAUAACGAGACAAGCUUCUGUAAGCUCUCUUACCAAAACCAAAAAGAAAGCAAUGCUAGCAUCUCUGGAAGAACUCUCAGAACGGAUGCCAUCACUGCUUGAUAUUGAUCAUCCAUGUGCCCAGAGGCAGAUUUUAGAUGCUCGGAGAUUAGUAGAGUCCAUACGUGAAGAGGAUGGCCACUUUGAUCACGAAGCACGAACCAACCAACCAUAUGCAGAUCCAUUAUCGGCUGCAGAGGCUGAGGUAACUCAGUGGAAUGUGUUGCAGUUCAACACAGGGACUACAACCCCAUUCAUCAUAAAAUGUGGAGCAAACUCGAACUCUGAGCUUGUCAUCAAAGCAGAUGCCCGGGUCCAAGAACCAAAAGGAGGUGAAAUUAUAAGGGUUGUUCCAAGGCCUUCAGUUCUUGCUCAUAUGAGCUUUGAGGAGAUCAAACAAGUAUAUGAGCAGUUGCCUGAGGCAGUUAGCUUGCUCGCCCUUGCACGAACAGCUGAUGGUUCCAGAGCUAGGUACUCUAGAUUGUACAGGACUUUGGCUAGUAAAGUUCCGGCUCUAAGGGAUCUAGUUGCAGAGUUGGAAAAGGGAGGUAUGUUUAAAGACGUGAGGUCAUAAAUGCAGGAGCGUCGUCUUGUACUAUAAAAACAUAUACGUCUUGCAAAUUGCUGCCUCAUUCUUGUAAGAUGAUUCACUAUUUUAUGAUAUCCUCUCAAGGGAUAGGUACAGUUUUCAACAAGCUUGACUUGUAAUGUCACUCCUGUUUACAGUAUUAUUUUCACAAUGAGGCACGUAGAAAAUAGCCUUCCAAGCAUGCAAAAAUCAGUUAGAAUAAGCAACAAUGUAACAAUCCAUUCUAUUUUGGCGGAGCAAAGUAAUGGUGGUGGAUCAAUAAGUGGUCAUGUAAUUUUCUCCAUAUACUGAAUGUUAGAAUGUAGUGAUUGAGAAAAUGAGAUACUAUUUGGUGUUGGUGGUGCAAAGCAAUUUGCAUUAUGCAUGUUUCCUUCGC
This is a non-coding RNA of Elaeis guineensis (African oil palm), 4502 nucleotides long. NCBI's taxonomy places the organism in Eukaryota, Viridiplantae, Streptophyta, Magnoliopsida, Arecales, Arecaceae. The record is from RefSeq and is a predicted model, not a curated record.